Non-coding RNA from Aaosphaeria arxii CBS 175.79, 110 nucleotides. The record is from the annotation of a RefSeq genome assembly. Lineage: Eukaryota; Fungi; Ascomycota; Dothideomycetes; Pleosporales.
GCAUCGGUGGUUUAGUGGUAAAAUUAGCCGUUGCCAUGUGAUCAAUCAAUUCACUUUGGUUCGAUUACAGCAACUUCGGCUAGCCCCGGGUUCGAUUCCCGGCCGAUGCA